Molecule: ribosomal RNA, 478 nt
Filed under: uncultured bacterium
Lineage: Bacteria
Description: partial 16S ribosomal RNA
Rfam family: Bacterial small subunit ribosomal RNA
Source: RNAcentral
GACGAACGCUGGCGGCGUGCUUAACACAUGCAAGUCGAACGGUAAGGCCCUUCGGGGUACACGAGUGGCGAACGGGUGAGUAACACGUGGGUGAUCUGCCCUGCACUUCGGGAUAAGCCUGGGAAACUGGGUCUAAUACCGGAUAGGACCACUGCCUACAUGGGUGGUGGUGGAAAGCUUUUGCGGUGUGGGAUGGGCCCGCGGCCUAUCAGCUUGUUGGCGGGGUGAUGGCCUACCAAGGCGACGACGGGUAGCCGGCCUGAGAGGGUGACCGGCCACACUGGGACUGAGAUACGGCCCAGACUCCUACGGGAGGCAGCAGUGGGGAAUAUUGCACAAUGGGCGCAAGCCUGAUGCAGCGACGCCGCGUGAGGGAUGACGGCCUUCGGGUUGUAAACCUCCUUCAGCACCGACGAAGCGCAAGUGACGGUAGGUGCAGAAGAAGGACCGGCCAACUACGUGCCAGCAGCCGCCGUAA